GGGGACAGUGGUCGUUACGAGGCUGCAGUACAAAGGGACAAUAUUCUCCAGUUAGUUCAUCUGUAGAUCCACGAUUCAAGACCAGAUUACCCUUUGCAAAAAGUAUUCGACCAAGAUCACGAAGUGACCGCUGAAUCAGUUAUUCGUACAACCGUCAAAAGAGUAUCGACGAAACCGAGAAAGAUUACAAUUUAAAUUCUAUCUAAUUAUUGAAACAGGUUGAUCAGUUUCUUCGAUCGAACGCUUUUUGUCGGCGGUAUCAAAAAUCCAAGAUGGCGCCGCGGUAAGUAUUCCAGCUGAAAAGAAUCCUUGACCGCGCGUUUCUCGAACGCGUAAUUGGUUUCUUUUAUUGGCAGAACGAAGCCGUCAUCGCGUGCAUCCAGGUUGCUGAGGUGACCGACAAGGAGGAACAUGGUUAAUGGAAGCGCAGAGGGAAAGGGAGAGAGAGAAAGACGGAGUGCGCGGCAGACAAGAUGGGAAGGAAGAGACGGCGGAGCGGAGAGCUGGCAAGAUAGAGGGGCUCGGUGGGAGGAUGGCGGUCAGAAUUUAUGGCCGCUUUAUCACUUUACCGGCCUUGCCGCGUCUCCGUGAGGAGGGCAGGAUCUCACGAUGAACUUUGGCACUCGACUCCGCUGCACUCGACGAACGGUGACGGAGUCGGGAACAGUUACAGCGUUGAAAAUGAUAUUGUCAUCGUCCGGAUAGAAUCGGUGAUCAACAUUGAGAUACAGACGCAAGAUUUAUUGUGAAUUGGAACCAACUUUGGCACACCGAAGCGAAUGAAAUGGAUGAAACUUAGAUUAACAGAUGGACACCUUUCGUCUUUCGAAAGAGACACUCGAGAUAAUAGAAGACGGACUACUUUAAACAUGGCCAGCCUAAAUCUCUCGGAAGUGAUACAUUCUGUCACAUUUUGUAUAGAUUAUGGGGUGUAACGUAAACGUGACAGGUGACACAUGAGUCACUCUACUCUCAGACAUCUACCAGACAUCUACUACCACGUUAUAUUUCCGUGCCAUUUACUAAGAAAGACUGUCCCGCAACUAAACUCGAAGAAUCCCAAGCAGAUUUUAAUUUACAACAAACUCAAGCAAACUCACGCCCCCCUCUCAUACAAUACUCCAGUCUGGACUCGAAGAUCAAUCCUCGAAACGGACAUCGAAGUGCCAUUUGUACCUGGACCUUCAACUCUCCAAAUAAACUCAACGAACACUUAACGAAAUAGUCUAAAAACCAAAUCCAACCACUACUACGCAUCAAACUCCAGAAUACAAUCGAAUUACCAUUUGUACCCAGCUGGGCCAUCGGUUCUUCCAAGGAAUCCGAUAAUUAUUUAUCAAAACAACUCCGACGACUUCAUACCAGCCGAAUAACCCGGAAGGACUGAUUAGAAACAGCCUACGACGAAUACCGAUCGCAACCGAUCCCGCGCACCAUCGGAAACGCAGCGAGGGCCGCUCGUCGAUCGCGGUACCAUUUCAAAA
Molecule: long non-coding RNA, 1484 nt
Organism: Nomia melanderi (Alkali bee)
Lineage: Eukaryota; Metazoa; Arthropoda; Insecta; Hymenoptera; Halictidae
Source: RefSeq, a predicted model, not a curated record